AAGCAGAGUGCCCAGGUUGACCACUACGCCACCAGGCCAGCUCCUGGGCUUUUCCUUUUAUAUCUCCAACGCAGGUUUAGAAUCCGGUUGGUUGGGAAUGACCCUAAUUAAGGUAAGGAUCCCAUAAGAGGGAGCGGGCUUAUGGAGACUGAAAACAAAGCUGAUACCAAAUUCAUUUUUAACCUUCCAGCUGGGUGGUGCUCUGCAAAUCACAGGAAUAAGAGACUCAGUUUUUUCAUUUCUAUCCCAAUAAUUGAUAUCUAGGUCAUGAAAUAUCUAGUUGGUUUUCCUCCCCGCAGAUGAAAACGUGUGUGAUGCUGACGGAGAAAGGCUCAAGCCACAGACAUCCACACCCAAUAAUUAGCUAAUCUAUCCUAAAUGCCAGAGAUGAGUAGGAAAAAAAACAGAAAAAGAAACGACAGCUUUUAUCCACAAUUUGACAGAGCAUUUAACCUGAAAAGGUCCAAAAGAGGAUUAAGAUGGUCCACAGAGUGUUCAUACAAGUUGAUGUGUAAGUUUUUCAAAUGUUUUAAUGUUGAUAUGUCUAUAAAUCAUUCUCUGCAUACAUUUUCUAAUUUAUGCCACCAUAUCCCAAGAUUUUCUUCUAUGAAGCUGAUUUGUGUAUGCAGUAUUAUGAAACUGAUUAUUAAUACACUAACACAUGAUCUUCGACACAUGAUCAUAAGAGUGGGUGUAUUGACUACUCCAAUUUGAAAAUUUCACAUUUGGAGAAAAUAGGCUCAGAGUGAAAUGUGCUUUGAUGAUAAGGCAAAUUAAAAGUGGAACACUGUGCAAAGAUUGUUUAAAAAACACAUCAUGGUCAGGAGACAGCUCGGUAAAUACAAUAGAGAUGUGAAGAUUAUUCCUCUUGCUCCCUAAUAGUGGAGAACACCUCAGUAACUUCAAGGUUGGUUAUCUAUCCACAGGACCGAGUGUUAAGCAUUGUGAUCAAAGGCUGGC
Molecule: long non-coding RNA, 960 nt
Filed under: Equus asinus (donkey)
Lineage: Eukaryota; Metazoa; Chordata; Mammalia; Perissodactyla; Equidae
Description: lncRNA (ENSEASG00005025922.1)
Source: RNAcentral